GCGCAGACUGACUUUUCCUCCUUCCAGAGCAAGGACCGGAGCCAGGCUGCCUCGGUUCACCAGCUGUGACCUUGGGCACCUUACCGGGCCAGCCCAGUCUUCUCAUCUGUCAAAUGAGACUGAUACCUUCCUGGGGUCGCUGUGAGGAUUGAAUGAAUUAUUACACGUAAAGUGCCAGAAGAGUGCCUGACGACGCACAAUAUGCCCUUUCACAGUAAUCUCAGCAUUUGGACAAGUAGACCUAGAGCAGUUGCUAAGAUCAUGGAAUUUGGAGCCAGACCUGCUGUGUUCAAAUCCCCUUCUACUCUUUAUGGUCAAUAUAGGGUCUUACUGGGCACGAAUAGUCUGCAGCUCACGACACGUACAACCCCAAGGUGAAUUCAGCAACAUUGGUCCACAUCCUAUUGAAGGAGACCUGUACACCAGUCACACACUUGGAUGUCAUGGCGAUGCCAGAUCAGUAUAAAAGUUUCCAAGUGCUUACUCCCAAUUUCUGCACUUAUCUGAUUGCAGACGGCGGACAAAGAUUCACAGACCAGCUCUAAUAGUGCAUUCUGUGCAAUCCUAUUUUUUGUAAAAUAACAUGUCUCCGUAAGAAUUCUUUAUUGUACCCCAGGCACAAACAGAUGCUGUAACACUGUAGGCAAUGAAUCAUUUCCAGAGUCUGUCUAUGCAUGAAAGGUGGUCUGGAGAGAUGAGCCCUGGGUUAGCAGAGUACCGCCAGGGGGCUUUGAGUCCUUAGCUGAUUUCAUGGCUUAAAGGCGUUCUACUUGUAGAUUG
This is a long non-coding RNA of Mesoplodon densirostris (Blainville's beaked whale), 780 nucleotides long. RefSeq lists it as uncharacterized. The record is from RefSeq and is a predicted model, not a curated record. The transcript has 3 exons. Lineage: Eukaryota; Metazoa; Chordata; Mammalia; Artiodactyla; Ziphiidae.